GAUGAACGCUGGCGGCGUGCCUAAUACAUGCAAGUCGAGCGAACAGACGAGGAGCUUGCUCCUCUGACGUUAGCGGCGGACGGGUGAGUAACACGUGGAUAACCUACCUAUAAGACUGGGAUAACUUCGGGAAACCGGAGCUAAUACCGGAUAAUAUAUUGAACCGCAUGGUUCAAUAGUGAAAGACGGUUUUGCUGUCACUUAUAGAUGGAUCCGCGCCGCAUUAGCUAGUUGGUAAGGUAACGGCUUACCAAGGCAACGAUGCGUAGCCGACCUGAGAGGGUGAUCGGCCACACUGGAACUGAGACACGGUCCAGACUCCUACGGGAGGCAGCAGUGGGGAAUCUUCCGCAAUGGGCGAAAGCCUGACGGAGCAACGCCGCGUGAGUGAUGAAGGUCUUCGGAUCGUAAAACUCUGUUAUUAGGGAAGAACAAAUGUGUAAGUAACUAGGCACGUCUUGACGGUACCUAAUCAGAAAGCCACGGCUAACUACGUG
This 497-nucleotide ribosomal RNA is filed under the name uncultured bacterium. RNAcentral describes it as "partial 16S ribosomal RNA". It matches the Rfam family "Bacterial small subunit ribosomal RNA", at positions 28 to 507 of the family's 1533-position model. The record is from RNAcentral.